This 928-nucleotide long non-coding RNA is filed under the name Sorghum bicolor (sorghum). RNAcentral's name for it is "long non-coding RNA (SBIC_LNC009844)". Lineage: Eukaryota; Viridiplantae; Streptophyta; Magnoliopsida; Poales; Poaceae. The record is from RNAcentral.
GGCCCAAAAGACUCUUCUCGCAAAUUACAACAAAUUGUGCAAUUAGUAGUUUUUUUAUUUAUAUUUAAUGCUCCAUGCAUGUGCCGCAUGAUUUGAUGUGAUGGAGAAUCUUGAAAAGUUUUUGUUUUUGGGUGCAACGAAACAAGGCCUAAUACAAAACUAAUAUAAGUUAUGACGUUGUUUGGCUCGUGAGCGGCUCACGAGUUGGCUCGAGUUGACUCAUUAUAGCUAACAAGCUAAAAUCCUGGCAUGGCUUGGCUCGUUAUAAUCCUAGCCGGCCACGAGCUAAGCGAGCUAAUGAGAUCUUUUCAUCCAGCCUUAUAUGUGGAUUUUAAAAUUUUCUUUUUUUUUCUAAAAAGUUCUACUCUCUACUCCCUCUGUACCAUCCUGAUAAUUCAAGUCGUUUUGGAUCGUGAUACUGUCUUCAAAACAUAAAUUUGACUUCUUAUUUCUAUAUAAGUGUUUAUUGCAAAGUGAUAUAUGUAUAUUUUUAUGGAGGUACUUUUCAAGAUAUCAUGUGGUUUUUACAUUUACAGGUUCAACAAUUUAAAAGUUAUUUGUGAUUUGUAUUCCAUUUUUCUGACUCAAAACUUGUCAAAAAUGACUUGAGGUACCAAUAUAGAGGGAGUAUUAGUUUUUGUUAGAACAUAAUUAGCUCAGGUUUAUGCCUUCUAUUUGUCAUCCGAAAAGUCUAUAUAACCUCCUCACUAUCCACUUCACACACCAACUAUAAAACCAAAUAUUCUAGCUCCUAAACUUUUGAAAACCGGCUAAAUAACCACCUCGAGCGGGUUUGGAGGGUGGUUUUGUAUUUUUCUUUUUAUUUAUUUUCACCAACUUUUUUAAAAAUCAAAAUAAAUCAUAGAAAAAUCAUAAAAUAAAAAAAAUCUAAUUUUGUUGGACUUCUAUUGAGUAGAUCUACACAGUG